GCCCUUAGAGUUUGAUCCUGGCUCAGAUUGAACGCUGGCGGCAUGCCUUACACAUGCAAGUCGAACGGUAACAGGUCUUCGGAUGCUGACGAGUGGCGAACGGGUGAGUAAUACAUCGGAACGUGCCCGAUCGUGGGGGAUAACGAGGCGAAAGCUUUGCUAAUACCGCAUACGAUCUACGGAUGAAAGCGGGGGAUCUUCGGACCUCGCGCGGACGGAGCGGCCGAUGGCAGAUUAGGUAGUUGGUGGGAUAAAAGCUUACCAAGCCGACGAUCUGUAGCUGGUCUGAGAGGAUGAUCAGCCACACUGGGACUGAGACACGGCCCAGACUCCUACGGGAGGCAGCAGUGGGGAAUUUUGGACAAUGGGCGAAAGCCUGAUCCAGCCAUGCCGCGUGCAGGAUGAAGGCCUUCGGGUUGUAAACUGCUUUUGUACGGAACGAAAAGCCUCUUUCUAAUAAAGAGGGGUCAUGACGGUACCGUAAGAAUAAGCACCGGCUAACUACGUGCCAGCAGCCGCGGUAAUACGUAGGGUGCAAGCGUUAAUCGGAAUUACUGGGCGUAAAGCGUGCGCAGGCGGUUUUGUAAG
This 588-nucleotide ribosomal RNA is filed under the name uncultured bacterium. RNAcentral describes it as "bacterial SSU rRNA". It matches the Rfam family "Bacterial small subunit ribosomal RNA", at positions 1 to 587 of the family's 1533-position model. The record is from RNAcentral.